Molecule: ribosomal RNA, 733 nt
Filed under: uncultured Gammaproteobacteria bacterium
Lineage: Bacteria; Pseudomonadati; Pseudomonadota; Gammaproteobacteria
Description: bacterial SSU rRNA
Rfam family: Bacterial small subunit ribosomal RNA
Source: RNAcentral
AACAGGAUUAGAUACCCUGGUAGUCCACGCCGUAAACGAUGUCGACUUGGAGGUUGUGCCCUUGAGGCGUGGCUUCCGGAGCUAACGCGUUAAGUCGACCGCCUGGGGAGUACGGCCGCAAGGUUAAAACUCAAAUGAAUUGACGGGGGCCCGCACAAGCGGUGGAGCAUGUGGUUUAAUUCGAUGCAACGCGAAGAACCUUACCUACUCUUGACAUCCAGAGAACUUAGCAGAGAUGCUUUGGUGCCUUCGGGAACUCUGCGACAGGUGCUGCAUGGCUGUCGUCAGCUCGUGUUGUGAAAUGUUGGGUUAAGUCCCGCAACGAGCGCAACCCUUAUCCUUUGUUGCCAGCGGUUAGGCCGGGAACUCAAAGGAGACUGCCAGUGAUAAACUGGAGGAAGGUGGGGAUGACGUCAAGUCAUCAUGGCCCUUACGAGUAGGGCUACACACGUGCUACAAUGGCGCAUACAAAGAGAAGCGACCUCGCGAGAGCAAGCGGACCUCAUAAAGUGCGUCGUAGUCCGGAUUGGAGUCUGCAACUCGACUCCAUGAAGUCGGAAUCGCUAGUAAUCGUAGAUCAGAAUGCUACGGUGAAUACGUUCCCGGGCCUUGUACACACCGCCCGUCACACCAUGGGAGUGGGUUGCAAAAGAAGUAGGUAGCUUAACCUUCGGGAGGGCGCUUACCACUUUGUGAUUCAUGACUGGGGUGAAGUCGUAACAAGGUAGCCGUA